RNAcentral lists this ribosomal RNA (798 nucleotides) under uncultured bacterium. Its description in RNAcentral is "bacterial SSU rRNA". It matches the Rfam family "Bacterial small subunit ribosomal RNA", at positions 124 to 961 of the family's 1533-position model. The record is from RNAcentral.
ACCUACCCUUCACUACGGGACAACAGCUGGAAACGACUGCUAAUACCGUAUACGUCCUCCGGGAGAAAGAUUUAUCGGUGAUGGAUGGGGCCGCGUUAGAUUAGCUAGUUGGUGAGGUAAUAGCUCACCAAGGCGACGAUCUAUAGCUGGUCUGAGAGGAUGAUCAGCCACACUGGGACUGAGACACGGCCCAGACUCCUACGGGAGGCAGCAGUGGGGAAUAUUGGACAAUGGGGGCAACCCUGAUCCAGCAACCCGCGUGAAUGAUGAAGGCCUUAGGGUUGUAAAAUUCUUUCGCUAGGGAAGAUAAUGACUGUACCUAGUAAAGAAGCCCCGGCUAACUCCGUGCCAGCAGCCGCGGUAAUACGGAGGGGGCUAGCGUUGUUCGGAAUUACUGGGCGUAAAGCGUGCGUGGGCGGAUUAUUAAGUUAGGUGUGAAAUCCCGGGGCUCAACCCCGAACUGCACUUAAAACUGGUAAUCUUGAGUUCUGGAGAGGUAAGUGGAAUUCCUAGUGUAGAGGUGAAAUUCGUAGAUAUUAGGAGGAACACCAGAGGCGAAGGGGCUUACUGGACAGAUACUGACGCUGAGGCACGAAAGUGUGGGGAGCAAACAGGAUUAGAUACCCUGGUAGUCCACACCGUAAACGAUGAGAGCUAGUCGUCUGCAAGCAUGCUUGUAGGUGACGCAGCUAACGCAUUAAGCUCUCCGCCUGGGGAGUACGGUCGCAAGAUUAAAACUCAAAGAAAUUGACGGGGGCCCGCACAAGCGUGGAGCAUGUGGUUUAAUUCGAAGCAACG